AAUUUUGGACAAUGGGGGAAACCCUGAUCCAGCCAUCCCGCGGGUAUUAUGAAGGCCUUCGGGUGGUAAAGUACUCUUGGCAGAAAAUAAAAGGUAUCCCCUAAUACGGGAUACUGCCGACGGUACUUGCAGAAUAAGCACCGGCCAACUACUUGACAUCAGCCGAGGUAAUACGUCAGGUGCAAGCGUUAAUCGGAAUUAAUGGGCGUAAAGCGUGUGUAGGCAGUUCGGAAAGAAAGAAGUGAAAUCCCAGGGGUCAACCUUGGAACUGCAUUUUUAACUGCCGAGCUAGAGUAUGUCAGAGGGGGGUAGAAUUCCACGUGUAGCAGUGAAAUGCGUAGAUAUGUGGAGGAAUACCGAUGGCGAAGGCAGCCCCCUGGGAUAAUACUGACGCUCAGACACGAAAGCGUGGGGAGCAAACAGG
RNAcentral lists this ribosomal RNA (424 nucleotides) under uncultured bacterium. Its description in RNAcentral is "partial 16S ribosomal RNA". It matches the Rfam family "Bacterial small subunit ribosomal RNA", at positions 360 to 776 of the family's 1533-position model. The record is from RNAcentral.